ACACUCUCACAUACUAGCCCGACAUGGUGGCAGGCGCCUGUAAUCCCAGCUACUUGGGAGGCUAAGGCAGGAGAAAAAUCGCUUGAACCCAGGAAGCGACGGCUACAGCCAACUGAGAUCACACCACUAUACUCCAGCCUGGAUGACAGAGUGAGACUUCGUCUCAAAAAAAAAAAAAAAAAGUGUUGGGAUUACAGGUGUGAGCCACUGCUUCCAGCCCCCUAGAUCUAAUUUGAAAGCCCUUACUUUUUUUCCAUCUGCUCUACUGUUCAGCCAAAGAUUGUGACUGGAGAGGAGUGUUUUCUUCUAGAGGUAAAUAAAUGGCCUGUAUAUUAUCCAAGGUGGAAUUUGGGUCUCUGUAGCGCCAGCUUGGACCAGUGUUUGGAGAGCUGAAGCCUCGUCCCACUCCUUAUGUUGCAAGAUCCAUGGAGUUCCAGCCCCCUGGACUUGUGGGGAGCUUGGAGAAGAGAGCCAUGAACAUCUGCCCACAUUGCAUUCUCUUCUCUUAGCUUGAGUCACCAUGCCUAAGCUUGGGUUCCACUUGGCAGUGAGAUGGAGAGAGUGUCCUAAAAGAGAUAAUGGCAAUGACCACCAGGUUGAAAACUGGCCUGGUGAGGAAAAGCAGAAGAUUGAUUGGGAAAAGAGAAGGCUAAGAGAUGAUUGGCCCUGGUGGGUGAGGUGCAAAGCUGUUGGCUAGUUUUCUGGAGAUAGGCUUACAUGAAGGUAGGUUGGGCAGAAGAAAGAACUUUGUGUUGGGCAUAGAAGAGAUUAAGAUGAACAAUUUGCUCUGUGGAGAACCUUUGGGAAAGGAGCAACUCUGCCUCUCCCAACUGAUACAGAAGACUUGGGGAGGUCUCUCAAGUCAAGAAUUCUGUUCUUAGGCCACUUUUCUCCCUUAAUUUAUUUCCUGUUCUUUCUCUUUUUAGCUCCCAGGGUUGCUAGAGCUCCUUGUAGAAUAUUUCCGACGAUGCCUGAUUGAGAUCUUUGGCAUUUUAAAGGAGUAUGAGGUGGGUGACCCAGGACAGAGAACACUACUGGAUCCUGGGAGGUUCAGCAAGGUGUCUAGUCCAGCUCCCAUGGAGGGUGGGGAAGAAGAAGAAGAACUUCUAGGUCCUAAACUAGAAGAGGAAGAAGAAGAGGAAGUAGUUGAAAAUGACGAGGAGAUAGCCUUUUCAGGCAAGGACAAGCCAGCUUCAGAGAAUAGUGAGGAGAAGCUGAUCAGUAAGUUUGACAAGCUUCCAGUAAAGAUCGUACAGAAGAAUGACCCAUUUGUGGUGGACUGCUCAGAUAAGCUUGGGCGUGUGCAGGAGUUUGACAGUGGCCUGCUGCACUGGCGGAUUGGUGGGGGGGACACCACUGAGCAUAUCCAGACCCACUUCGAGAGCAAGACAGAGCUGCUGCUUUCCCGGCCUCAUGCACCCUGCCCACCAGCCCCUCGGAAGCAUGUGACAACAGCAGAGGGUACGCCAGGGACAACAGACCAGGAGGGGCCCCCGCCUGAUGGACCUCCAGAAAAACGGAUCACAGCCACUAUGGAUGACAUGUUGUCUACUCGGUCUAGCACCUUGACCGAGGAUGGAGCUAAGAGUUCAGAGGCCAUCAAGGAGAGCAGCAAGUUUCCAUUUGGCAUUAACCCAGCACAGAGCCACCGGAACAUCAAGAUCCUAGAGGACGAACCCCACAGUAAGGAUGAGACCCCACUGUGUACCCUUCUGGACUGGCAGGAUUCUCUUGCCAAGCGCUGCGUCUGUGUCUCCAAUACCAUUCGAAGCCUGUCAUUUGUGCCAGGCAAUGACUUUGAGAUGUCCAAACACCCAGGGCUGCUGCUCAUCCUGGGCAAGCUGAUCCUGCUGCACCACAAGCACCCAGAACGGAAGCAGGCACCACUAACUUAUGAGAAGGAGGAGGAACAGGACCAAGGGGUGAGCUGCAACAAAGUGGAGUGGUGGUGGGACUGCUUGGAGAUGCUCCGGGAAAACACCUUGGUUACACUCGCCAACAUCUCGGGGCAGUUGGACCUAUCCCCAUACCCCGAGAGCAUUUGCCUGCCUGUCCUGGACGGACUCCUACACUGGGCAGUUUGCCCUUCAGCUGAAGCCCAGGACCCCUUUUCCACCCUGGGCCCCAAUGCCGUCCUUUCCCCGCAAAGACUGGUCUUGGAAACCCUCAGCAAACUCAGCAUCCAGGACAACAAUGUGGACCUGAUUCUGGCCACACCCCCCUUCAGCCGCCUGGAGAAGUUGUAUAGCACUAUGGUGCGCUUCCUCAGUGACCGAAAGAACCCGGUGUGCCGGGAGAUGGCUGUGGUACUGCUGGCCAACCUGGCUCAGGGGGACAGCCUGGCAGCUCGUGCCAUUGCAGUGCAGAAGGGCAGUAUUGGCAACCUCCUGGGCUUCCUAGAGGACAGCCUUGCCGCCACGCAGUUCCAGCAGAGCCAGGCCAGCCUCCUCCACAUGCAGAACCCACCCUUUGAGCCAACUAGUGUGGACAUGAUGCGGCGGGCUGCCCGCGCGCUGCUUGCCCUGGCCAAGGUGGACGAGAACCACUCAGAGUUUACUCUGUACGAAUCACGGCUGUUGGACAUCUCGGUAUCACCGUUGAUGAACUCAUUGGUUUCACAAGUCAUUUGUGAUGUACUGUUUUUGAUUGGCCAGUCAUGACAGCCGUGGGACACCUCCCCCCCUGUGUGUGUGUGCGUGUGUGGAGAACUUAGAAACUGACUGUUGCCCUUUAUUUAUGCAAAACCACCUCAGAAUCCAGUUUACCCUGUGCUGUCCAGCUUCUCCCUUGGGAAAAAGUCUCUCCUGUUUCUCUUUCCUCCUUCCACCUCCCCUCCCUCCAUCACCUCACGCCUUUCUGUUCCUUGUCCUCACCUUACUCCCCUCAGGACCCCACCCCACCCUCUUUGAAAAGACAAAGCUCUGCCUACAUAGAAGACUUUUUUUAUUUUAACCAAAGUUACUGUUGUUUACAGUGAGUUUGGGGAAAAAAAUAAAAUAAAAAUGGCUUUCCCAGUCCUUGCAUCAACGGGAUGCCACAUUUCAUA
Molecule: small RNA, 3046 nt
Filed under: Pongo abelii (Sumatran orangutan)
Lineage: Eukaryota; Metazoa; Chordata; Mammalia; Primates; Hominidae
Description: retained intron
Source: RNAcentral